This 457-nucleotide ribosomal RNA is filed under the name uncultured Methanolinea sp. Its description in RNAcentral is "bacterial SSU rRNA". It matches the Rfam family "Archaeal small subunit ribosomal RNA", at positions 882 to 1338 of the family's 1478-position model. The record is from RNAcentral. Lineage: Archaea; Methanobacteriati; Methanobacteriota; Methanomicrobia; Methanomicrobiales; Methanoregulaceae.
CAACGGGUGGAGCCUGCGGUUUAAUUGGACUCAACGCCGGGCAGCUCACCGGAUAAGACAGCUGGAUGAUAGCCGGGCUGAAGACUCUGCUUGACUAGCUGAGAGGAGGUGCAUGGCCGUCGUCAGUUCGUACUGUGAAGCAUCCCGUUAAGUCAGGCAACGAGCGAGACCCACGCCAACAGUUGCCAGCAUGUCCUCCGGGAUGAUGGGGACACUGUUGGGACCGCCUCUGCUAAAGAGGAGGAAGGAAUGGGCAACGGUAGGUCAGCAUGCCCCGAAUUAUCCGGGCUACACGCGGGCUACAAUGGUCAGGACAAUGGGUAUCGACACCGAGAGGUGGAGGCAAUCUCCUAAACCUGUCCUUAGUUCGGAUUGUGGGCUGCAACUCGCCCACAUGAAGCUGGAAUCCGUAGUAAUCGCGUUUCAAAAUAGCGCGGUGAAUAUGUCCCUGCUCCUU